Molecule: long non-coding RNA, 1007 nt
Filed under: Piliocolobus tephrosceles (Ugandan red Colobus)
Lineage: Eukaryota; Metazoa; Chordata; Mammalia; Primates; Cercopithecidae
Description: lncRNA (ENSPTEG00000014183.1)
Source: RNAcentral
UUAAAAUAUAUUUUUUUAUUAUGUUUACAUUUUUUUUUUUAUUAUGCUCAUAUUUUUUUCAUUUUCUAUAGAAGUUAGACAUUUCAAUUUUAGAGCUAAAACAAAAAACCAUAACAAAAUUUUAUCAUUUUAUGUUUUGGGUAUUAAUUUGCCAAGCAUAUGUUUUAGUACCCUUCUCUUAUUUUUAUAUACAAAAUAAAAGUUUAUAUAAAAACGAAUUUGAUGACAAUAUUAGUGUUUGUGAAAAUGUGAUUGAGUCUUUUGGAAAAAUGAUAUAUUUUAUUAUUUUCUUAGUUGUUCUAUCAAUAAUCGGUUUAAUAUAUAGACCUUAUCAGAAAAUUGCAAUGACAAAAGGAAAGGAGCUUGAAUAUAUUGUAGAUUUAUUGGAUAUUAAACAUGCUGGUGAAUCUGCUAUUUUAUUUUUGAUGGGAUGUGUGAUGUUAAUAGGUGUAUCAUUUUGGGUUACAUAUACGAGUCAUGGACUAGCUUGUUUACCCUUAGCUUUUUUGCAUCACGAAAAUCUUGAACAGUGUAAAAAAGAAAUAGAAGAUCGUUUUAAUAGGCUUAAGGAAAAAGAAAUGUUGAUAAAGAGUAAAUAUACACCACAGAAUGAAAUAAAACAAAAUGAUAAAAAUGAAAUUGUCAAAAUUGAAAAAAUGAAAAAAAUACUAAGUAAAUACAAUUAUAAAUUGCAAGAAAAGGAAAAAAUAUACGAAUCCUGGUUAUCUUAUGUGUUGGGACUUGUGUUUACAUUUAGGUAAAAUAUAUAUAUAUGUAUAUAUACAUAUCUAUAUUUAUGUGUGCAUAUGUACAUAUAUAUAUAAACAUACAAUACAUACGAUAAACUAAAAUAUACCAAUUUUUUUAUUAUGCUUUAAGAAUUAUAAUAGGUAUAAUAUUUCUCACUUUUUCAUUUACCAUAUACAUAUCUUUGUUAUCCUCAAUAGUGGAUAAAGUAAGAAAGAGCAUAUGAAAAAAAUGAACAAAAAAAAUGAACAAAAAAAAUG